GGCGCUCAGACUUUGGUCUGCCUUAUUUGGCGCUCGACAUGAAAACGUGAAGAUUGGUGAAAAUAGAAGCUCCAAUUAUCACAGGGGUUCUGGAUAGUGAUUUUGGGUUGAAAUUUCUUCAGUGGAAGCAUCGUGAUUUCCUGAUGAUGACUUCUAUCAGUCAUCAAAAAUUCACAGAGCCAACAUCACAUGAGUUGCUCCCCGCUUCCCACAUGAAAGGACUAGAAUUAAGAGAAAGAAGAGCUGGUACACAACAAGACCGAGGACUAAAGCACUGUUUCGGGAUAUUUUCAG
Long non-coding RNA from Lathyrus oleraceus (garden pea), 294 nucleotides. RefSeq lists it as uncharacterized. The transcript is spliced from 3 exons. The record is from RefSeq and is a predicted model, not a curated record. Lineage: Eukaryota; Viridiplantae; Streptophyta; Magnoliopsida; Fabales; Fabaceae.